RNAcentral lists this ribosomal RNA (271 nucleotides) under uncultured bacterium. RNAcentral's name for it is "partial 16S ribosomal RNA". It matches the Rfam family "Bacterial small subunit ribosomal RNA", at positions 336 to 621 of the family's 1533-position model. The record is from RNAcentral.
UUCCUACGGGGGGCAGCAGUGGGGAAUAUUGCACAAUGGGGGGAACCCUGAUGCAGCAAUGCCGCGUGAAGGAUGAAGGUUUUCGGAUUGUAAACUUCUUUUAUACGGGACGAAGAAAGUGACGGUACCGUAAGAAUAAGCCACGGCUAACUACGUGCCAGCAGCCGCGGUAAUACGUAGGGGGCGAGCGUUGUCCGGAAUUACUGGGCGUAAAGAGAGCGUAGGCGGCACUACAAGUCUCAUGUGAAAUACCCGGCCUUAACUUGGGGGU